Molecule: long non-coding RNA, 344 nt
Organism: Carcharodon carcharias (great white shark)
Lineage: Eukaryota; Metazoa; Chordata; Chondrichthyes; Lamniformes; Lamnidae
Exons: 3
Source: RefSeq, a predicted model, not a curated record
AUGGAACAUGAGGGAAAACUGAGUGCACAGAGAUUUCCUUGGUGAAUAGAUCGUUCUGGGUUGAGAAAAUAGGAGGUUAUUACAGUAAUACUGAUUGCGUUGUGUUACCUAUGACAAUAAUGUAGCACUUAGGCCUGAAAAUCUGAGCAUGGAUGCUGGUUCAGUAGAGGUCUACGUGAUGGAAGAGGAGGAGGAAGAAAACAAGCAGUAGCAGAAGACCCAGUAAGAAGCAGGAGGAAAGCCUUCAGACUCAUCAUCAUCCAGGACACACAUGAACAAGCCUUCAUGGAACUGUUGUACCAUUGUGAUGAAUUUCUCAAGGCAGCUGAUUUUCUGCAUCACCU